GGGUGCCCUGUUCAAUUUGAAUUUCAGAUAAAUGACAAAGAGUGCUUUCGUGUCAGUGGGUCCCGGGCAAUAUUUGGGACAUACUUAGGCUAAACACGUAUUUCAUAUUUGUUGUUUACCAGAAAUCCUGAUUUAGCCA
Molecule: microRNA precursor, 139 nt
Filed under: Mustela putorius furo (domestic ferret)
Lineage: Eukaryota; Metazoa; Chordata; Mammalia; Carnivora; Mustelidae
Description: miRNA (ENSMPUG00000020812.1)
Source: RNAcentral